RNAcentral lists this long non-coding RNA (1587 nucleotides) under Homo sapiens (human). Its description in RNAcentral is "non-protein coding IGSF11-AS1:1". Lineage: Eukaryota; Metazoa; Chordata; Mammalia; Primates; Hominidae. The record is from RNAcentral.
AGGCACAGAAGCUGCAGAGCAACACAAAGGAUCCUGCGGGCUUGAACAAGGGGCUCGAACAAAAAGCAGUUACUCCACAGAAGACCAGAGGGGUCCUCCCAGCAUUGUGGCUCUAUGAGGAAACUGAGACCCAGAGAUGGAACUGGGAUUCAAAACAAUGUCUAGUGUGACUCCAGAGCCUUUCCUAACUCCUACUUAAAGCCUCUGAGGAAUGCUGAAAAGAGCACAGGACAUAGAAUCCAGAUUAAAAUGAUGAAAGUCAUCAACCUUAAAAGAAGCAAAAAAGAAGAGAAUUAGCUCCUCUGUGUAAUUUUUUUAAAUAUAGCAUCAAACCAUCUUCCCGUCAGCAACAGGCACUGCAGUAUUGAAGAUCAUCACAUGAGGGCAGAGGGCGUAAAAAAGGAUGGUGUGUUGAGACCAGAAGCAGCAGCAGUCCUCGACAUCAACUACAACUUUCCUUCGCACAGUGCAUACCCUCUGAUAUACUGAACCCAACGCCUAUCCUCCAGCCCCCUAAGAACUAGAGAGGGAGCCUCACAACAUUCCAAUUUAAUCCUUCAGAAAAUUCAUUACUCUUCAAAGUUGUCUGUGGUUUUGUGACAACGAUAUGACUAGGUGCAAAAUGGCUUGCAACUAAUUAACAAACAUAGAAGCAUCCAACAAACAUAUACGUGCACAAUCUGAGGAUUUAGGGAUGAAAUCAGUUAUCCAGGUUAGAUAUCAACAAAAGAGCAGUAAUUAUAAAGUUUCAUGAAGAAAGUGGCUGUUGAGGUGUGGAUUAUGUAAGUAAGACUGACAACAAGAAAUGAUUUUGUUAUAAUCCAGAAGUAAAACUAAAUAAAUGUUCUUUAAAUUGAUGGAUAAAUAAGAAAGAAUUUAUUUACAACAGUAAAUAAAUCCAAUACUUGUUAUAAAUAAGAUAAAGCUGGCUAUAAAUUCACAUUUUCAUGUGAGCGUUUUGAAGUAUGUGGACAUAAAAAACACACACCUCAAGCAUACUUCUCAAUGAUUUCUGAUAAAGAACACACCUUUGUAACCAGCACAUGGUGUAAAACCAGAAACAGAACAUUACCAGAUUCCUAAACAAGCCUUCUUUGUGCCCCUUUUUAGUCACUACCCUCCCCCAUUCAAGGUAACUUCUAUCUUGACUUCUAACACCACACUUUUAGUUUUGCCUAUUGUUAACUUGAUAUAAAUAGAAUGAUACUGUAUAUUUUGUGUGUGUUUGGCUUCUUCUGCUCCAACUUUUGUUGGUAAGGUUUAUACAGAUUAUUAAAUAUAGCUAUAGUUCAUUUAUUUCUAUUACUAUGCAGUAUACUUGGAUUCAGGAAUACACCAUAACUUAAUCAUCCAUUCUAUUGUUGACUGGUUUGGCAAUUUUCUAAACAUACGCAAAUUCUAUGAACCAGCAAUUCUAUCCCGUGUAUGUGUAUAUAUACACACAUGUUAAAUAUAUACACAGAAACAUGCUGUGAAAGUGCUUUGCAAAUGGCAAAAUGUAAAAUGUAAGGAAUGUUACCAAAGAGCUGAAACGCACUGUGUCUUUCUUGCAACACAGAUUCUUGGACAUAUCAGAUAAUAAAUGUA